RNAcentral lists this long non-coding RNA (226 nucleotides) under Physcomitrium patens. Its description in RNAcentral is "long non-coding RNA (PPAT_LNC007631)". Lineage: Eukaryota; Viridiplantae; Streptophyta; Bryopsida; Funariales; Funariaceae. The record is from RNAcentral.
GCGCCUAUAUCUCCUUCAUAUAAACUCCAAAUUAUACAAACUUGCACCAAAACCAUAGCCAAAAAGCUAAACUUACUAAUUCUAGCCUUCAAAGCUCAAAUGGCUCCAAGAAACUAACCUUAAUUCCUAAUAUGGCCUCAGGCAGCCUCCUCAAAGUCCAUUGGUCAUGAUUUUUGACCAAUAGGAAUGGAGAUUUUCAUCAUUCAUCUCCAUUCAUCUACAUUGG